GAUGAACGCUGGCGGCGUGCCUAAUACAUGCAAGUCGAGCGAACAGACGAGGAGCUUGCUCCUCUGACGUUAGCGGCGGACGGGUGAGUAACACGUGGAUAACCUACCUAUAAGACUGGGAUAACUUCGGGAAACCGGAGCUAAUACCGGAUAAUAUAUUGAACCGCAUGGUUCAAUAGUGAAAGACGGUUUUGCUGUCACUUAUAGAUGGAUCCGCGCCGCAUUAGCUAGUUGGUAAGGUAACGGCUUACCAAGGCAACGAUGCGUAGCCGACCUGCGAGGGUGAUCGGCCACACUGGAACUGAGACACGGUCCAGACUCCUACGGGAGGCAGCAGUAGGGAACCUUCCGCAAUGGGCGAAAGCCUGACGGAGCAACGCCGCGUGAGUGAUGAAGGUCUUCGGAUCGUAAAACUCUGUUAUUAGGGAAGAACAAAUGUGUAAGUAACUAUGCACGUCUUGACGGUACCUAAUCAGAAAGCCACGGCUAACUACGUG
RNAcentral lists this ribosomal RNA (497 nucleotides) under uncultured bacterium. RNAcentral's name for it is "partial 16S ribosomal RNA". It matches the Rfam family "Bacterial small subunit ribosomal RNA", at positions 28 to 507 of the family's 1533-position model. The record is from RNAcentral.